AUGAGCGGGAGGGACGUCAGAGACGAAGAGAAACCAGAGUGUGUCCAGCCUGGCACAGACGUGACCUCCUUUCACAAAAGAUUUUCCCCAGGGAACAAGGGAGGAUGUGGCGCUCAGGGGGCGCAUGACUCGGGUGAACCGGCCCCCAACGUGGGCGCCAUGGAAGGGUUUGGCAACCUAGAGGCGUUUGUUCCCAUUCCGGUUUCAGGGGCUUCAGGGCACAGUGUGGGCCUGGCGGGGAGCACAGGGCAGGGAGCUGAGCCAGCAGGGAGGACCAUCUGCUACGCUGCCAGCCACGCCGGGCCCCAUGCGGGAAACAAGUCGGCUUUGGGGCCAGAGGAGACAUCCGUUGCUGCUGGACACUGUGCCAAGCCAAGCGGCCCACCUCGCAGGCUUCCUCCCUCACUCCCCACUGUGCCCAGAAGAAGGGCAGGGAGUCUUUGCCAAGUGGCUGCUACAGCCAGGGUAAAUGGGCACAGGGCGUUCUGGGACCAUAGGCAGGGCAAACGGGUACAGAGGAGCAUUCUGGGACCCCAGGCAGGGCAAACGGGCAUGGAGGGGCGUUCUGGGACCUCAGGCAGGGCAAAUGGGCAUGGAGGGCGUUCUGGGACCACAGGCAGGGCAAAUGGGCACGGAAGGCAUUCUGGGACCCCAUGUGACUACAGCGCCCCUAAACACAAUGCUUUUUAAUAAUGACAUGAUUCACUUGUUCACAGGAGCAGCGACUGCUAUGGGGAAGUGGGGAGCUCGGGGAGCUCGUAGGAGUCCAGGUCUCGGCAUCGGGACGGGAGGGCUUGCACCCGAGAACGAGGGCGACCCCCGAGAGGGGCCGGAUCCGUCUGAGCUGCUCCCUGUGCUGGGGGAAUGAAUACACGGACUAUCCUCCCUUUCUACUGAACUAGGAACACGACAUUUACACAACAAAUGAACACAAGCCGCGGGAGCCAUCCCGAACGGAGGGACCUCCUCCGGGUCCCCUGCUGCAUGCUCAGAGACGGCGCCCGCCGCGCUCCGGCCCUGCUGCCUAGAAGGUGCUGGUGGAGGUGGUGAGCCGCCUUCCGAUGUAGAUCCUGAGGGAGAAGCAACGACAGUUUGGUGGGCGGCGCCCAAGCUGGGGCCCAGGCAGACCCUUCUCCGCCACUUGCUUCCUCCCACAGGACUUGGGGGCAGGGGGUGGGGGCGGGGGUGGGGGUGUCCAGGGCAGGCAGGACCUUCUUUUAGGGUCCUCAUUCCAAGGGCUUCCAAAUGGGCCCGUCCAGCCACCUUCCAACCCCCACAACAGCUGGAAACGCCAAAGCGGAGCUCGGCCUCAUUCCCCCAAACCCUCCCCACUGGGCCCCAAACCUCCGGGCCACCCCCGACUCCUCACUCACCACCCCACACAACCCCCCCCCGCCCAUGGAGCUGCUGCCAAGUCAGUGUGCACUCAUUAAGCACCUACUGUGUGCCAGGCAGAGAUCUGGAGACACGAAGAAAAGGGGGACACAAAAGACCCUCCCUGUGAAAAAGGGGAGACAACCUGCCGCCCCCCCUCGCCUCACCGUGACAGCCCAGAGCCAGAAAGGAAAAGGCUGAUCUGAUCUGCUAAGCUUAAGGAAGACUUCCUGCAGGUGCGCCCGAGGAGCCCCACGCCGGUGACCAUCAGUCACGGAGACGAGCGCAGACCCCCCUUCCCCCAGGGUGAGCCCGGCUCAGCCAAUCACGCGGCUGCCACGUGUGUGGGGGGCCUGUCCUGCCCUCGCUGCGGGGGCCGAGGCUUCCCCGCCACCAACUCUGUGCUAACAAGGUGGCAGCGUUCCCCGUGCUCUGCUCAGUGCACUCGGCCAACGAGCACUUAGUGAGCGCCUUCUGUGUGCCGGGCGGACGCCAAAGGGACAAAAGCCGGUCCCUGCCCUCUGGGGGGGACGCGAUCAUUAAACACGUACACAUGGGAAAUGGCUGACGUAGGGAUGGUGCUGGAAGAUUUCCUCUAGAAAUGGAUUUAAAGGGAACCUGGGGGAACUGACAUUGACACGUGAGCCCCUGGACAGGGGCCGGUGUGACCCCAUCUUACAAAGGCGGAAACUGAGGCAGCAAAGGUCAAGGGGCCGAGACCACAAGUGACCUCGGGCCUUCCCGACGCCCUCCAGGAAUGCAGGUCAACCCGGAAAGACUCCCGGCCCUCAAGGAAGCGGGGCGAGGAAGGACGGGGACCCCAAUGUGGGGGAGUCCUCCCCCUGCGCUCUGACCCGGCCUGCGGCAGGCGGCCUGCCUUGGUCUCCCCGGAUGUCAGCGAUUCCCCUAAAGCAGGACCACGGGCCCCCUCACCCUCCAACCUCGGCUCAGAUUCCCCGAUGGUACUCACCCCAAGCCAAUGGCGAGGAAGUGAGAGAGCAGCAGGGACGGGAGGAAGACCUUCAGGAACUCCGCUGAGAAGAUGCCCCCCUUCUUCAUGACACUCGUGUUCCUCAUGCUGAGAGUGGCUGAGCGCUUUGGGUGCUUAAAAAGAAACUCCCUGCACAAAGGGAAGCGAGGGCCAGGGGUCAGUGCUCCCGGACUGGGAGCGGGCAGUCAGCCCCCUCCUCCGCUGCUCUUCCAACCACUGCCCUCUGUGGCUCCCCCUCCACGGCUCUCCUCUGCUCCCCUCCCCCAGGGGCCCCCAUCCACGGCCUCCUGUUCCCUCCCCCAGGGACUCCCCU
This 2678-nucleotide long non-coding RNA is filed under the name Sarcophilus harrisii (Tasmanian devil). RNAcentral describes it as "lncRNA (ENSSHAG00000022060.1)". The record is from RNAcentral. Lineage: Eukaryota; Metazoa; Chordata; Mammalia; Dasyuromorphia; Dasyuridae.